GAUAAUUUGACUUCUUUUCAAUUUACAUGUCCUUUCUUUCUUUCUCUUGCGUAAUUGGUUUGGCUAAGACUUUCAAUACUGUGUUGAAUAGAAGUGAUAAAUUGACAUCACAUUUCACCUUUUCUUUUAACAAAAAAAAGGUUUUACAAUGGGUCAGCCCAAUAUGAACUAUUGGAAACAUCUCUAAGAUAAAUUAAGGAAAUACACACACUAUGGAAUAAAACAGCAUGAAGAAUCUAUGUUUAAGAGGUAGCUAUCUAUUCUCCAGGGAUUUAUGUUACCCUUCCACAGAGUAAAGUUGAAUAAGUACCAACUCAGGGACUAAACUUCCCAGCUUCUCCUGCAUUUAAAAUCACUGUUACUUCUUGUGGAAUAUGUGCAAAGUGAUCUGAUAGGACUUCUGGGCAGGGUGAUUAAGAAGCAAUUAUGUCUUAGUCUCUCUCUCUUUUUCCUCCAUUUGCUGCUAAAGUGAAGACUGAAGCCCUAGGCUAUGGCAGAAGUUGGGCGCCUGAAGUACACAUGGAAAUAUGCCAACUGAACAUUGGACUAUCACCGCCUGCCCCUGGCUCAGCGCCCGGUGCCAACAGAACACCUUUCAGGAUCCACAGCAACGCAGACAACAUUUUAAAGCACCUGAUGGAUUUGGAAAAUAUUUAAUGAAGACAAUGAUGCUGACAUCUCAAGUUAAAAGGUUCUACAGAGAAGGCAAAGAUUUUGAAGGCACAGGAGACUAUCAUAGAUAUUCACAACGGCAUCUCCCUAAAGGAUUUGAAAGCUUUGCAUCAACCAAAGGAAAAGCACCAGUGAGAGUCAAGAUACAGUUCUAGACAGGUGCUACUUCUUAUUUAAAAGGUAUCAAGGUCUUGUUCUUAUGUGUUCAGAUCAGUGCUGGAAAUGAUGAAGACAGAGAGACUGGAAGGAAGAACACAACAGUUGAGUGAGUAUUAAGUAUUCUCAGUUAGAUCAGGGGUCCCCAACCCUCAGGCCAAGGACAGGUAGUGGUCUGUGGCCUGUUAGGAACUGGGCCGCACAGCAGGAGGCGAGCAGCAGGCGAGUGAGCAUUACCACCUGAGCUCCACAUCCUGUCAGAUCAGCAGCAACAUUAGAUUCUCACAGGAGCACGAACUCUGUUGCAAACUUUGCAUACAAGGGAUCUAGAUUGUGCAAUCCUUAUGAGAAUCUAAUGCCUGAUGAUCUAAGGUAGAAGUUUCAUCCCAAAAUCACAUUCCCCCCAACCCCUGGCAUCUGUGGAAAAAUUGUCUUCCACAAACCUGGUCCCUGGUGCCAAAAAGGUUGGGUACUGCUGAGUUAGAUCAUAACAUUUAAUCCUGAUAAUAACUCUGUGAGGCAAGGUUUGUUCAGCCCAAUAAACAGCAGAAAUAUGGGUCAAAUCUAGGUUCACAGUUGAUGCUCAUUCUACCAUACAUACUGCCUCUUGUAACAGGUAUCCUAACAAGUACCUUCCUGGAGAGUUUUGUUGCCAUAUGACUUUUGUGUAGUUAUUUAUUUAUUUAUUUAUUUAUUUAUUUAUUUAUUUAUUUAUUUUGAGAUGGAGUCUUGCUCUGUCGCCCAGGCUGGAGUGCAGUGGCGCAAUCUCAGCUCACUGCAACCUCCGCCUCCUGGUUCAAGCAAUUCUCCUGUCUCAGCCUCCUGAGUAGCUGGGAUUACAGGCACGUGCCACCACGCCUGGCUAAUUUGGGUAUUUUUAUUAGAGACUGGGUUUCACCAUAUUGACCAGGCUGGUCUCGAACUCCUGACCUCAUGUGAUCUGCCUGCCUCAGCCUCCCAAAGUGCUGGGAGUACAGGCGUGAGCCACUGCACCUAGCCUUUGUAGUUAUUUUAUUAGGCCUGUCAGACAAUCAUCUGCAUGCAUGUUAUUUCCCAGCAAAGAACUAAGCUUAGGUGAUUUUGCUCAGUUAUUCUGUAUCAGGGGUAAGCAACUCUUUUUUUAAAGGGAGAAAUGGUCGUUAUUUUAAGCUUUGGGGACCAUACAGUCUGUUGCAACCACUCACUUAUGACAGCCAUAGACAAUGUGUAAAUGAAUAGGUGAACAAGGCUAUGUUCCAGUACAACUUUAUUUACAGAAACAGACAGUAGCCAUAUUUGGCCCAUGAGCUAAUAGUUUGGCCAAUCCUUGUGAUAUACCAAUGAUAGUCAUUUUUUACAUAUUUUAGUCUACAUAGUUUCAGAGUGCUUUGUCUCCUGUAAUUCUUGGAACUCCCUAGUUCUGUAUCCUGCAGUGAUUCCCCAGUGUCCUUCACCAUGGAAGCCUCCAUGUUUUAAUAUAACAGAGCCUUGGAAACAAGGGUGUGAGGCAAGGACUUGAGCCAGUGCUCAUCGUGGUGAAAUUUGCAUCAUUAGAAGAAUGUUUAUAAAGGACUUUAGAGAAGUUAGAGUCAGUACCCCACUGCCUGCAUCAGAACUAGCCCUGUGGUAGGAAAUCUCAUACAGAGGGUGGGCUCUAAUUUCAGAGGAUAAGAACCUGGCCUUCCACAGAGGUCUCAGUUGGAGCUAUUGAUUCUAUGGUAGAAAAAGAUGAGAUUGACAGCACUUGAGCUACUAGUAUCUAAAUUCUCUUCAGGGAAUUUUAUGCCAGUCAGCUGCACCAAUAUACCCUGCCAUGCUGGCAAGUGUCUUGGUUUAAAACCCUCCCCUGCUCUGCAACUCUACCAAAUUAUUCAUGUUGGCCUGAUUUUCUUACUCUUCCAUCUUUUCUGGCAUUUUUUGUUUUAUGUGUGUGUCUGUGUGUGUGUGUGUGUGUGUGUGUAGCUGCUUUAGAGACAUUCUGCCACCUUUCUGGACUUAGCUAGAUCAGGGAGAGUAGGCAGGUUGUGAUUGGAAUCUUAAUAACUUGUCAAAACAGAGCAUUUAAAUCCUGUUCAUGUUAUUUUAUAUCCUUCCCAUGGAACACAGAUAGCCAAGAAGACAAAUAAGAGAGGACCCUUGGUAUUUUUUCGUUGUUUGUAUGAUCCUGAGGGUUUUGAUGAACUGGCUUUUGCAAGUUACAUUGUCGUUGUUCAAGCCAGCUUCAGCUGAUUGAUUUGGCAAGGAUCCAAGGCAUCGAAAAUCAAAACAAAACAAAACGAAAAAGAAAAUAAAAAUUCAGAUCAGAUCAGAAUACAUCAUAACAAUGUAAUCAUUCAGCAUCUCAUCUGGUUACUUAUAAUAAGUUGUGCAGUGAUAGAAAUGGAAAUAAUUUACUCUGGCCACUCUGUGUUACUGUUAAAUCAUUUAUGUGCUGUGAAAAGAACUGCAAACUGUUGAGACUCAAAGAUCCCCUAACUGCAUUCUCCCAAGGAAUUCUCCACCACGAUCCCCAGUUCUAUUUCAUAUUUUAAACAUUUUCUUAGAGUGUGAGCUUUAUUAUCCACGUUCAAAUUCAGCAAGGCUUACUCGUCCAGAUAGCUCACCAUCAAGAAAUACAGUAAUGUGAAAUUGAGCUACUUCUGACAUUUUUAUGGUUUGUGAUAUACGAUACAACGUGAUGUAUGAAGCUCUUUGUAAUAAUUUUUAAUUUUGAAAUAGCUGAUUCUUUGGGGAUCAUUUAAUACAUAAUUCCAUAGAUUUUAGUGAUACCAGGUAUCUUUCAAGUAUCAUUUUAAUUGAGCUCUGGUGCUUCUGUCCUAUCAACUGUGAAUCAAACAGGAGCCUAUCAAAUCCUGUUGGGUGACAAAUCAUAGAACAAGAAAAAAUUGAUUCAUAAAUUAUGUCCGAAGACAAAUAAGAUUUUUUUUUGAUGUAUUUUUUUUUUAUUAUACUUUAAGUUUUAGGGUACAUGUGCACAUUGUGCAGGUUAGUUACAUACGUAUACAUGUGCCGUGCUGGUGUGCUGCACCCACUAACUCGUCAUCUAGCAUUACGUGUAUCUCCCAAUGCUAUCCCUCCCCCCUCCCCCACCCCACAACAGCCCCCAGAGUGCGAUGUUCCCCUUCCUGUGUCCAUGUGAUCUCAUUGUUCAAUUCCCACCUAUGAGUGAGAAUAUGUGGUGUUUGGUUUUUGUUCUUGCGAUAAUUUACUGAGAAUGAUGAUUUCCAAUUUCAUCCAUGUCCCUACAAAGGACAUGAACUCAUCAUUUUUUGGCUGCAUAGUAUUCCAUGUGUAUAUGUGCCACAUUUUCUUAAUCCAGUCUAUCAUUGUUGGACAUUUGGGUUGGUUCCAAGUCUUUGCUAUUGUGAAUAAUGCUGCAAUAAACAUACGUGUGCAUGUGUCUUUAUAGCAGCAUAAUUUAUAAUCCUUUGGGGUAUAUACCCAGUAAUGGGAUGGCUGGGUCAAAAUGGUAUUUCUAGUUCUAGAUCCCUGAGGAAUCGCCACACUGACUUCCACAAUGGUUGAACUAGUUUACAGUCCCACCAACAGUGUAAAAGUGUUCCUAUUUCUCCACAUCCUCUCCAGCACCUGUUGUUUCCUGACUUUUUAAUGAUUGCCAUUCUAACUGGUGUGAGAUGGUAUCUCAUUGUGGUUUUGAUUUGCAUUUCUCUGAUGGCCAGUGAUGAUGAGCAUUUUUUCAUGUGUUUUUUGGCUGCAUAAAUGUCUUCUUUUGUGAAGUGUCUGUUCAUGUCCUUCGCCCACUUUUUGAUGGGGUUGUUUGUUUUUUUCUUGUAAAUUUGUUUGAGUUCAUUGUAGAUUCUGGAUAUUAGCCCUUUGUCAGUAUGAGUAGGUUGCGAAAAUUUUCUCCCAUUUUGUAGGUUGCCUGUUCACUCUGAUGGUAGUUUCUUUUGUUGUUGCAGAAGCUCUUUAGUUUAAUUAGAUCCCAUUUGUCAAUUUUGGCUUCUGUUGCCAUUGCUU
Long non-coding RNA from Pan paniscus (pygmy chimpanzee), 4785 nucleotides. NCBI's taxonomy places the organism in Eukaryota, Metazoa, Chordata, Mammalia, Primates, Hominidae. The record is from Ensembl.